AUUGAACGCUGGCGGCAGGCCUAACACAUGCAAGUCGAACGGUGACAGGAAGAAGCUUGCUUCUUUGCUGACGAGUGGCGGACGGGUGAGUAAUGUCUGGGAAACUGCCUGAUGGAGGGGGAUAACUACUGGAAACGGUAGCUAAUACCGCAUAACGUCGCAAGACCAAAGAGGGGGACCUUCGGGCCUCUUGCCAUCGGAUGUGCCCAGAUGGGAUUAGCUAGUAGGUGGGGUAACGGCUCACCUAGGCGACGAUCCCUAGCUGGUCUGAGAGGAUGACCAGCCACACUGGAACUGAGACACGGUCCAGACUCCUACGGGAGGCAGCAGUGGGGAAUAUUGCACAAUGGGCGCAAGCCUGAUGCAGCCAUGCCGCGUGUAUGAAGAAGGCCUUCGGGUUGUAAAGUACUUUCAGCGGGGAGGAAGGGAGUAAAGUUAAUACCUUUGCUCAUUGACGUUACCCGCAGAAGAAGCACCGGCUAACCCCGUG
Molecule: ribosomal RNA, 490 nt
Filed under: uncultured bacterium
Lineage: Bacteria
Description: partial 16S ribosomal RNA
Rfam family: Bacterial small subunit ribosomal RNA
Source: RNAcentral